RNAcentral lists this transfer RNA (74 nucleotides) under Thermoproteota archaeon. RNAcentral describes it as "Crenarchaeota archaeon (sediment metagenome) tRNA-Met". It matches the Rfam family "tRNA". Rfam says of the family: Transfer RNA (tRNA) molecules are approximately 80 nucleotides in length. The record is from RNAcentral. Lineage: Archaea; Thermoproteati; Thermoproteota.
GCGGGAGUCAUCUAGCCUGGCUAUGAUGCCGGACUCAUAAUCCGGUGUCCCGGGUUCAAAUCCCGGCUCCCGCA